ACAUUCAACGUAUUAAUAAUAAGCGUUCGUUAUUAAUCAUAUUCAUAUGGUAUAUAGUUUCUUUCGAUUGCAUUUUUAGGACUUCACGGUGUAUCAAACAUCUGUUACAUACAAAGAGUACCGCUAGAAUCGAGCCAGCACAUCCAUUCACUGCGAAUACCAGCAAACCAGGUUCUUCUAUUUUGCUGCUGCAAGUUGUAUCAAGCAGUCGGUUAAUAGGUGAAUUUACUGUUCUCGAUACUUAGCCAUUGGCACAUGACCGAUAUUUCAGAUUCCAGAGGGAAAUUAUGUCAUGAAUGUAGGAAGAACGAAAGCACGUAAUAUCUCUUCUUUGCUUUGAAUUAUCAAAAGUUAGAAGAGGAUUAGAAGAUUAGAAUAAUCGAGUAUUGAAAUAUUUGAACAGUAGCAAUUAGUAAAUAGUAAAAAAUUAAAAUUGAUUCCAAAUAUUAUUAAUAUCACAUUAAUUUCUCAAGGUAGUAAAUGGAAAGUUUAAAUUGGAGAAUGAAACACUUGCAUUCGGAAUAAUUAUAAUUACAGCGCGUCCGCUUCACCGUGGCAUUUAACGCGUUAAGUAUUAAUUCUUCAAUUGAAUCAAGAAGAAACUGUGCAGCGUUAAGAGAAAUCUGAACGUCGUCAUUUACGCCUGUCCUUUACCCUUUGAGCUUUGUCUGAGGAAGACAUGAGCCACUUAAAAAUCAGGUCGUAUCUACAAUCAAAUUUCAUUUUAUAGGAACAAUGAGAAGCAUAUAUCAACGUUACAACAAAAGCUUUGAGGACUUAAAAUUAAAAAAGAGGAUUUAAAAAUGAAUUGGAAACUUGAAAAGUCAGAACUAUGAUAAAUUAAUUAUUUUAAACAAAUUAUCCACAACCCAAGUGCCAAUUCAAGAAAAGUUGAAGAAGAAAAUCAUGCCUUUGGAAAUCUAGCCAUAAAGAUAAGAGAUCAAACUGAAAUCUCGAGCAACGCGUUAGAAGACGAAGAACAAAAGGUGAAUACGUUGCGGACCCUCCCUUCUUCGAGGAAGUCGCCGAAAGUGUAACAGUAGGUUUCUCAGAGCUCCCGGUGGUUCUCCGGAUGAAGAGGAUCCAGUCUGGGUGUUGUUACUCGACUGCUUCGUGGUAGACUCGAAGGUAGACCCGGGGUCACGAAGGUUCAACAGUACAGUGGAUUAAGGAUCGUCAAAUGAGCUGGUGCAUGGUGGAAGAAAGGAUCGUAGAUGAUCCAAGUUUGUCCGAUUGGACCAGUCAGUGUUUCUUUCACUCUCCUCUAGUGUUAAUAACAAACGUUCUAAAUCUCUGAUUUUGGAGAACGCUGCAUCUUGUUGUUUCAAUGAUUUAUUUAAUUUUUAUUUAAUCAACACUGGAAGAAACGAGAAGAAGAAUAGUACAUAA
Osmia bicornis bicornis is the source of this 1389-nucleotide long non-coding RNA. RefSeq lists it as uncharacterized. Lineage: Eukaryota; Metazoa; Arthropoda; Insecta; Hymenoptera; Megachilidae. The transcript is spliced from 4 exons. The record is from RefSeq and is a predicted model, not a curated record.